This 75-nucleotide transfer RNA is filed under the name Candidatus Roizmanbacteria bacterium CG_4_9_14_0_2_um_filter_38_17. RNAcentral describes it as "tRNA-Arg". It matches the Rfam family "tRNA". From Rfam's summary of the family: Transfer RNA (tRNA) molecules are approximately 80 nucleotides in length. The record is from RNAcentral. Lineage: Bacteria; Candidatus Roizmaniibacteriota. RNAcentral also lists the same sequence under 1 other name.
GCUUUUGUAGUUUAAUGGAUAGAACACGGCCCUCCGAAGGCUGAAAUGUGGGUUCGAUUCCCGCCGAAAGCACAA